CCUACGGGUGGCAGCAGUGAGGAAUAUUGGUCAAUGGGCGGGAGCCUGAACCAGCCAAGUCGCGUGAGGGAAGACGGUCCUAUGGAUUGUAAACCUCUUUAGGCGGGGAGCAAUGCCGGGCACGCGUGCCCGGAGGGAGAGUACCCGCAGAAUAAGCAUCGGCUAACUCCGUGCCAGCAGCCGCGGUAAUACGGAGGAUGCAAGCGUUAUCCGGAUUUAUUGGGUUUAAAGGGUGCGUAGGAGGAUUGUUAAGUCAGCGGUAAAAGGUCCGGGCUCACCCCGGUCCGGCGGUUGAAACUGGGGAUCUUGAGUGGGCGAGAGGUAUGCGGAAUGCGUGGUGUAGCGGUGAAAUGCGUAGAGAUCACGAAGAACACCGAUUGCGAAGGCAGCAUACCGGCGCCCGACUGACGCUGAGGCACGAAAGCGUGGGGAUCGAACAGGAUUAGAUACCCCAGUAGUC
RNAcentral lists this ribosomal RNA (460 nucleotides) under uncultured bacterium. RNAcentral describes it as "partial 16S ribosomal RNA". It matches the Rfam family "Bacterial small subunit ribosomal RNA", at positions 338 to 795 of the family's 1533-position model. The record is from RNAcentral.